Molecule: long non-coding RNA, 1237 nt
Organism: Panicum virgatum (switchgrass)
Lineage: Eukaryota; Viridiplantae; Streptophyta; Magnoliopsida; Poales; Poaceae
Exons: 4
Source: RefSeq, a predicted model, not a curated record
CCCGUGCCAUGCCGCGCGCCGCCCGCCCCUGCCCCGCGCCGUCCACGACCACUGCCAGUGCUGGGUCUGCGCCGCCCCUUCUUGCCCCAGGCCCAGCCGUCCGCGAGCCCUAGCGCCAACCCCGACCGCACGCGCCGCCGUCCCCGAGUUUCUGCGCCGCCGGAGCCGCCCGUCACCGUCCCAGCUGUAGCCGCUCGCCGCCGUCCCUGCUGGAGAGCCGCCCGCUGCCGUCCCCGCCCCGAGCCUCGACGCUGACCCCGGCAGUACGUGCCGCCGUCCCUGACCUCUGGCGCCAUCCCCAGCCCCUCCUCCCGCGCCAUCCCGUGAGGAGGUCCAGCGCGUGUGCUGCGAGCGCCGCGCGCAUCAGGGCCGCCGUCAGCCACGUGCCGCGAGACCAUGGCCCUGCUGGCCACCGCCAGAUGCCCCGCUCAUCCUACUAUGCUAUAGGUGCUGGCCCGGUCGCAGCUUGAGCCAUGCAUAGGUGAGGAUCUCUUCGAUCUUAGGGUUAGGGUUUGGGAGAUUUGGGGAUUUUCAUUAUGCAUCCCCUUCUUCUAAUUGCUUCAUGGAUUCCCACUACAGCCUCUCUGCGGCCACUUUCUCGCUCCCAGGUACCGGCUGGGGCUACCCUGGCACUCACCCACUACCCUCACCAUCGCACCAGUCCUUGAUUCUGUGCGUGCUUCUUUCCCAGUGGCGCAGGAGCUUGGGCGGCACCCGUUGAGCUCGGCGGCAGCGGGAGACACAGUGGCGGAGCUGAGGAGCGCGUGGGAGGACGUCAGGUAGCUUCUAUCCGCCUGCCGAUCCAGGUCUGUCGACCUCGAGCUGCAGGUCAAAGAUGAAAUGAUGGUGAUCCAAGAUUGGUUGUGAGGAGAGGAGUUCAAUCCUGAUUCGAAGCUAAUUAUGAUGUCUGAAGAUCUUUGCACCUCCGUGCAGCUCCUCACGCCGGACAGGCAAGCAAGAGAGCAGCAGCUAUGAGGACAGUUCUGAAGAUGAGUCGGACGACGACAAUGAUCACCUAGCAAUGCACUUCCAAGAUCCACAAAUUUUGUUUUGUUAUGCUGUAUAUGUGGCAUCCAUUGACAGGAUUCUUGAACAGGAGAAGGAGCACCUGAAAAUGGUUGUUGGAAAGAUUGAGUCCCGGGAACCUAAUGUGGUUGAGAUUGAUUUUCUUAGCAUGAAUAAACUUUGAUGUUGGCAUAACCUGUAGUGCGGAUUCCUCACAUGAUUGUUGUGCACA